RNAcentral lists this long non-coding RNA (5903 nucleotides) under Eucalyptus grandis. Its description in RNAcentral is "long non-coding RNA (EGRA_LNC006056)". The record is from RNAcentral. Lineage: Eukaryota; Viridiplantae; Streptophyta; Magnoliopsida; Myrtales; Myrtaceae.
UGGAAGAGGUGGAGGACUAGGUGCAACUACCUUCUCUUUAAGAGGUGGAUCAGGAAAAUUCUCCACCACAUCUACCAGGAUGUUUCCAUGCUCCUCGAGAAGGGACUCGAGGUAAGGAAUUAACGCAUCCCUUAUUUCAAGAGUUGUGAGCUCUCGGCCUGCCACGUCAUGUUACAAUUAGAUUAACAUUAAGUCAUUCCAUCCUAAUUCAAAUCAUGGAAGUAUUAACAAAUUGCAAUCGAACCUACUAGAUACCGAGACUUGUGAACGUAAUGAAGCCUUGAUACAAGAUGCUCAAUGAAAAGAUCGGACUUGUUGAUAGUCCUCGCAGCUACCGUAUUGCUUAAACCUUGCUUUUUCAAGAACAAGGUUAAGACAGCCUUGGCUUCUUCUUUUUCUGCUGCCAAUAGGGUUGGAGACACCACUCUCAAACUGACAGAACCAUCUAGCCCAGAAUCAGCAGCUGGAGUAUUGAAAGCUCAAAAGUUAGUUCAUAAAUAGUUUGGAUCACAAUGACAUAUCUGCAAGAUUCUGCCAUUUGCCAAUUAAGAAAUUACAUGGAAAUUACACUAUGGGACACGGUAACGAUCACUUACCAUACUUAGCUUGGCAGGAAAAGAGUUUCACUGGAAAAGAAAGUUGCACCCUGAGAAAAGGACCAACAUCAAUAUUCUACACUUCAACUGUAACAAAUGAGGGGCGACAGAUAGAGAACAAGGAUAUUAUUGGGCUGAUACAACUGAUUUCUGACGCCUCAACUAUGAUGCUUUCUUUAAUUGAAAGGCAGAUGACAUGUUACAACUUGAUAGCACAACCCUCGCAAUUUUCAUAACAAACUCUUAGCAUUGUCUCCAUAGCAUGAUGUCAUAAGAGCAAACAGAAAUUCCAUCGAUGGGACUGCACAAUCAAGUGGAAGGAGGGAAAUAAACUGGUAGACAUCUAUCUAUCCUCGCUAAAACCUGUCGAGAUGCCAUAAUCUCAUGGAAGUUUUAGUUAUGGAUUCAUGUCCACCAACAAGACUGAUUUGCUUUUGCUACUUCAAAAGAAACAUAAACUGAGUGAGAGGUAGCAGCUAUCAGAAUUCGCAAUGAGCCAAAGGUUCUUGAAAUUUGAAGAAAGCAAUAUCAAGUCCCCUUUAAUCCAGAGAACAAUAAACUACAGAAUUUCACACCGGACGUAAUCAUCACCAAGAUUCUCACGUAUUCUACUCAUCAAUUUUUUAUGUCAUUCAUCUAGUUGAAUUCUUCUUUUAUUCCCAGUGAAAUGUGUAUAGAUUUUUUCAGAUUACCAUGUUACUGGAAAUUUAAAUGAUGAAUUUUCCACCUUUCCCUGAAAUUUCACUGGCAUAACAAACACAUUUAACUAGCGAAACAGGACAAAGAAAAAAAGAUAUCUUCUCAUCACUACAUUUGACUGAGCUUGAGCAUAACACCUUCUCCAUUUCAGAUUCUGACAAACACCCACCACGCGAUUGGUUCUCUAAGUACGACAGAAACGAAUUUUUCAGCAAAACUCGAUGUGGGUCUUUUUCGACUCGCGCUCGAGUCAACACACGGAUGCAAGCAAUAUACUCGAGGUGGGGAUGGAAAAAAAUUCCAAAAGCCUGCCCCUCGAAUCCGAAACUUUUCAUGGGUGGGAACGCGAGGUUUCAAGAGGGUGGUUGUACCUGGAGGAAAAGAGGGGUCUUGAAAGGAGCGAGAGCUGAGAGACGCGAACUGCGCAGAAAGCUCUCAUCUUGUGGCGGCUCUCUGGAAGUCCCCGUGUUGCUUGCUUCAGACAAUGCGCAUUGAAGAGGGAAAGAGACAAAAAAGAAAACUCAAGAGAAAAAUGAGAAAGUGAGGAGGAAUUGUGAAGCUUUCUCCUGUCUUCGACUUCGUCUUCUCCGAGGUCGAAGCGAAGAGGGAAGGAGAGGUUCUUAAGGGGUUGGGAUAAUAUCAGCAGUGGUGGCGGAUUCAGAGCGGCUUCAGCAUCACUCCAAGAUUUACAAGCAGAAGAAGACACAGUUUGUUUGUUCUUUUUUUCUUUUCACUUUCUUCUUCUUUUUUAUUUUUUAUUUUUGUCUCAGCAGUGCCUAUUUUCAUAAUAUUUCCAUUCAUUUAUUAUUAUUUUUUUUGAAAUAGCGGUCUAGUUUCUGGACGGGUUUUUUUUUUUUAGUUAGUGACUUGUCCACCUUGUUCAGACGAUUUUAUAGGCACAUUCUCGUAUUUAAUAUCUCAUUCCCAAAAUGUUUCCAAUAAGACAUAAACUCAAGAUGCUUUUAUUUAUGAUUCUAUCCAAUUAUUUUAUAAGGAAUUUAAUCCACCUCGACUUGGUGUACUUAAAAUUUUACUUUGGAAUUUCUUUUAACACAAUUCGAACUUACGAUCAUAAUAUUUUUAAAAAAAUUUAGAAGGGAAAAAAAGAGUCAAGGUAGGAUCUUUAUUAAAAGGGGCUCAUUUACAUGACUUUACAUGACUUUAUCAACAACAAUAGAGAGUUUUGAUUUUUAGUGUUAUUGUUGCUCAAAAAUAUAAAAGUAGCUCAUUUUAAUCUUUUUUUUUGGUUAAGAGCUCAUUUUAAUCUUCUUCCUAGAAUGUUUCCAAUAAAAUUUAAAGCCUAAGAUGCUUUUAUUUAUAAUUCUUUUAAACAUCCACUUAUUUUAUAGGGAAUUUAAUCCAUCUCGACCUAAUAUAUUUAAGAUUUACUUUGGAAUUUCUUUCAAUAAGAUUUGAACCCAUGAUUAUAGGAUUUUUUAAGAUAUUUAGAAGGAUAAAAAAAAAAAGUUGAGGUAGGAUCUUUGUUAAAAGGGGUUCAUUUACAUGACCUUAUCAACAAUAGAGAGAUUUGAUUUUUAGCAUUAUUGUUGCUAAAAAAUAUGAAAGUAGAUAGUUUUAAUAUCUUAUCCCCAAAAUGUUCCCAAUAAUACAUAAAGCCCAAGAUGCUUUUAUUUAUGAUUCUUUUAAACAUCCCCUUACUUUAUAAGGAAUUUAAUCCACCUCGAUCUGGUGUAUUUAAUAUUUUACUUUGGAAUUUCUUUUAACGAGAUUCAAAUCCAUGAUCAUAAGAUUUUUUAACAUAUUUAGAAGGGGAAAAAAGUUGAGGUGGGAUCUCUUCUAAAAGGGGCUCAUUUACAUGACCACAAAAUUUGCACAAUUAUCACGAUUUAGCUUCAUGGCCUAAGCUAGUUUAGACGAUAUUCCCACAUUACACAGAAUUUCUCACUCCACGGUUGCCUUUCUUAGGGGCAUUUCUAAAGUUAUGUCUUGGGAAAUGGAUUUAUUUUUGGUUCGUGGUAAACAUGUAAUGUUGGUUGCAAAAUUUUGAAUUACAAUUAUAAAUUUGUGUAACUGGUAACUUGCUGAUUAAGUUACGAAUUAUAAUUUAAGAAGCAUGUGACCGAUUUAUGGUCAUCAAUGAAGUUGACGAAAUUAAAAGAUAAUGCUCACUCAAAACUUAUAAUGACCCAGACAAGAAUAGUCUCCAGGCAUUUCAAACUUAUAUACAAAUACAAAUUCGAAAUAUAGGAAAACUUGAUUUUAGUAAUGGGAGUUGCCAAAGUUCCACAACCCCGACGUCCACGAAUAACAAUUGAUCAAAUGAGCUACCCUGCCACGAGUGCACUAUCCGAUUCAACUUCCAAGGAGGUCGCUACUAUAUGCUGCUCUUGAUUUCCGUCCGCAUACUUGUGGUUGGAUGCAAGUUCAAUCGCCCCUUCAAAUCUGCAUAUAAGUACUAAGAAUUCGACUACCUAAAGAGAAGGGACUCUACUUGUCCACAAAUAACAACAGUUACGGUAAAAGCAACAAGAACUUACAUCUAACAAUCUGGACCUCUCUUGAAGCAAGAAAGCGAAUUAACUAAACCAGACACAAAUCAGAGCAAGAUGUUGUAAGAGGACACGGAUAUUCCAUCCUGUUCAGUGUAUAGAGCUCGAUCCGAUAAUAUAAGCGAAUUGGAACUCACCACAGAAUUGCCCUUAGUAUGCAUGUAUCAACUCCAGUAUGCUGUGAGCCAAACAUGCAUGAAAAUGAGGCAACAAACCAUACAGAGAGUUCAAAUAUUUCUCCUGAGAAUCCAAGUCACAAAAUUGGAUGGUGAAACCUUACUUUCACCCUGACCCAAUUCAUUAAGGUUAAUCUUUGAAGCCGUCCAGUUGAAUGGAUGAUGGCUCGGUAAUAGUCCUGCAAUAGGCAUAGAGACGAGAAUCCUCCAGCAUUGGAAACUAUAAAUGAAAGCAUCAUUAUUCAACAUCAAAGCAGAUCACUUCUUCAGAAGACAUAUAAUAGAAUACGACAAAGAAACAGUUCAUAUUCAUUGACUCGUUGGUGAGGAGUUCAGCAUUUUAAGGAACGUGGACAUUGCACAUGAUGAAUUGGAACAAUAUACAGCAUCAUUUUCAUGCCUUUUCUUUAUUGGCAAAGUCUGGCCCUAAAUCACCUGUAGUCAAAUCUGCCCACAAGAGAGAUCUGUGAUUUUUCGUCGAUGAUAUCCCACUUCUAUGCAAAUCUGAUUGCGGCCUCAGCCCGGGUGAGAAAGACCUUCCCACACAGUCAAACUUUAAGCUCAUUUAAGAUACAUAAAUACACCACCAUAGCACUUGAUUCUUGCGUGCAUCUAUUAUUAUCAAAGAUUGAAUGAUCUGCAUGAACAAUUGCUACUAGUUGUUUCACCAGCUGAUUUGCUUGCCACAAAAUUGGAGUCCUGAGCAAGUCCACAAUCCAUACAAAUAUCUCAUCAUUCAAGCGACGCUCAGUUCAUCAUUCUCAUUAACUGCUACAUGCAACAAACUCAGGCUUCAGCGUCGUCAGGAAGCGCUUUGUCCAUUUUCUUCGUCAAAGCCUCUUCAAAAUCUUGAGCAGACAAUGACAACACCUGGUUCAACAGCAACUGAACUCCGCACUCCUUCAUACGAGCAUAUCUUGGUUUAAUUCUCUCUUCCAAACUAUAGCCGAAAUACUGAGGGAACUUGAUCAGCUCUGAUUGUGGAUAGUCCAUGGUCAAGAAGAAGUCCCAUUUUGGUAUCAAAUUCUCAGCCAAGCUCAAAGUGUAUAAAGCUCCGUACCUGCAUAUCAUAGUCUUAACGUCUUCCAUACUGUAUUCUCUCUCCAAGAAAAAUUCCGUAAUGGGUUUCAAGUGAGCCUCGAUACUAAGGCCAAAAGUCUGAGGUGAACGGUGAAAAAGAACAGCCACAUCAACCCCCAUUGAGCGGAAGUAUUCAGCUGUUGGUCGUAGCUUGUCCUCCACACUGUGACUUAUAAUAUUUGGGGAGUGAGUUAGAAUCUUCCCUAUGCUCUUCUCUGAGAGACCCAUCUUGUUGAGGAAAUCAACCGUUGCGUUAACCUUCUGCCUGCUGUAAGUGAGGAACGCAGGACAGCGGUAUAUAACUUUAGCCCAUUGUUUCUUAUCCACACCCAAGUUCUCCAGGAAUGUCAUUGUGGGUAUUAGAUUCUUUGAGAGACUAAUUCCACAUAACUGCGGCCUUUUGUUGAGGAUAAUUGGAAUUUCAUUCUUUGGUACCCCAAGAUCAAGAAGGAACUCAACCACUGGCUUGAUUUUCCUCUCCAAGCUAUAGUAAGCAAAAGCAGGGAAUCUGCGCGUAAUUCUCUUGAUCUGCUUAAGAGUCAUACCAAGUUCUAAUAGGUAAACAAUAUGAGGAGGAGGAUUAGCCUGGCUCACUCUGGAGACAGCUUUUAGCUUUUUAUUGUCCAUGCUUGAAGGAGAUGGAAGAGGUGGAGGACUAGGUGCAACUACCUUCUCUUUAAGAGGUGGAUCAGGAAAAUUCUCCACCACAUCUACCAGGAUGUUUCCAUGCUCCUCGAGAAGGGAUUCGAGGUAAGGAAUUAACGCAUCCCUUAUUUCAAGAGUUGUGAGCUCUCGGCCUGCCACGUCAUGUUACAAUUAGAUUAACAUUAAGUCAUUCCAUC